GAAACGCCCCUUGCAUCAGACUCUAUAAGACCACAGAGACCUGUGAAUCUGUUUCGCCACAAGACACUCACUACCCUCAGCCGAAGAUACUAAGAUACAGUUUAGACAGUGUCCAGAGCCGCACUGAUCUUUGUGUGAUUUGUGAAGAUGGCCUUUAAUGGUUUGAGCACAAGAUAUCCCAAAAGGAAUAUAAAUAUUCACACACCCGUGUGCCACGUAAAGAAAAAUACUCUUCAUGGAAUUACCAUCUAAAUGAUAGUCCCUAAAAUUAGGGCUGAAGGUCACCUUUACACAUUUACUUCUGAUGGCGAGAAAACAGGUGAGGAAUGCCUUUUUGCCUUUCAAGGAGCUGUUCUACUCAAACGACCUUGUAAAUCAUGGAAUAUGUAAAAUGCUUGGGAUAAAAGUGGGAGUGAAUCGCAUAAAAUGGAUAUACAUGGAAGAAUAAAACAACAAUGUUCAAGAUGUACAAAUUGUUUAUUCAUCUCAUUUUGACGUGCGCAUCUGUGUGCGUAAAAACGCGCGUCUCCAAAUGCGCACCAGAAACACAACAGCGCUCCAAUGCGCCACUGAAUGCUUUUUGCUAUCAAAUUGUAAUUGUAGCACAAAAUAGGUCUUAGGUUUUUUUAGGAUAAAACUGUAUAUGUAAUUCAAAAUAUUUCCUUUGAUAUUUUUGUCCCUCGGUAAUAAGAGCUUAUCUGAGGUGUUGGUUUAGGAUGAUCAUUAAAAUGAAUAAAACAAGAGUUUAACUAUAAAAUUCUGGCUGAAGUAGUUUGCUGGUCUGAUUUUAACUAGCUGGUCUUCUAGCCAGACAGGCUAAUAACUGUCCACCCCCAAAAUAACUAUCCAGCAUCAAUAGACACCACUGUAGUUGCUUUUUUAGCAAAGGCAUAAUCAGGAAAUAUCCUGUGAUGAUUUUUACUUGGUAAGUGGCCUGAUUUACCUGGAAAAAGUAGGGUGGUCAUAAAACAUAUUCAUUUCACACCAUUGACAACAUGUUUUUAUGAUUGCAUGUCUACUUUGAGAUAUGAGUCCAACAUAUGUCUGUUGCAGAUUAAAAAUCACCCCAUGGCCUAAAUUCCACAAGAUGUGUUGACACAUGUCUCCAAAAGAAAAUCCUUCACAGACACAUCUAAAUAUAUAAAUACGUAUAAUUCUCAUAAAUGGGAACAUGUCUUGUUCGGUCACACAAGGGGAUCUAUUUGCCUGUGUUAACAUGGCCAGCUAUUAACACGAGACUCUUAAUAUGAGAUGCUUAUCUGGUGAAACUAAAAAUAAAUUGUGCUCUCCACUUAGUAAUAGAAGAAGAUGUGCUGUGGGUCUUAUCUAAAAGUAGACACACAUUUAGCACAACACACAUUAAAUAAUAAGAGAUAUCAGUUAUCAAAGACAAAUAUUAUAAGUGUUUUAAUGUGGAGAUAUAUAACUCAUAAAUCUUAGUUUAGAGUCAGACAAUUCAAAGUUUUAUAAAUCUGUCAAUAGAUUUUGUGCAUAAAUACAUUUGGUCAAGAUGCUGUAAAUAAACUCUCUAAAUGAGUUAGGAUAACACACAUGAAAUUAGCUACAGUACAUAAAAGAAUGACAUUGCUUUAAUUGCUGGAAAGUCUCUGACAGCUAGAGAAAUGAUACUGUUAUCUAACAUAUGCGUGAAAUGUUUCUCGCACAUUUACAGCUGCCUGUGGAACAGCAUGUGUCUCUAGUCAACAAUCUCAGUUAUGAGGGUGUGUGAAAACAUAUUCACCCCAUAAAAAAUACCUUGCAUACAUCACUUCCUGAAGGGUCAUGUGACGUAAACAGUUAGAGGUGAUAUAAUAUUUACCAUAUAAAUUACAGUAAACCUUUAUGAAUGAAGUAGCCAAUGUUUGCUUGCUUCAUUUAAUUUCCAUGUACGACUUCAUAUAGAGGUCAGAUAAGCCCAUGCUUUGAAACUAUACAAUGUGUUCUUGUAGUUAAUUUACAUCUAUGCAGUUAACAAACACUUUUGUCUAAAGCAACUUCCUGUGCAUUACAAGGUUGCAUUUUUAUCACCUCUCGUUCUCCGGGGAUCGAACCCAUGACCUUUUACACUGCUACCUCAAUGUUCUCCUACUGAGCUAUACAGGAGGGCAGCUGGUGGAGCUUAAUAGCAACUCAAAGGUCAUGAGGUUGAUUUCCAGGAAACACAGUUACUGAUAAAUGUCAUGUGGAGCUUGCACACGGAAGUCGCUUUUGAUAAAAGCAUUUCACAAAUGCAUAAAUGUAAAUGAUUGCUGUCAGUUUUCUUGAAAAUAUGGAAUGAAGCUUAAAAGAACUGGAGAAACUAGCAUUGUCCUGUAUAGGACAAGGCACAUUGGACAUGUCCUCUAACACACCUUGGUGUAAUAUUUCUAAAUUCCGAAUAGAAAUGCACAUCAAUCCGCAAGUCUGUUCGUGACUUUCUCCUAUUUUAACUGAAAUAGAGCGAAACUUGAUCUGCGUCUCCGCUACCUUUUUUGGUGUCUGUGACAAACCUUGACGUUAGAGACGUUCUCACCUUUCCCCCAGCCCGACCUCGUGGACCAGGCACAUGGCCAAGACUCAGUGCUUCAGUGUGACUUGGCUGUGAGUGGGCAGAACUGAUUAGAGAUCAGAGGGUACACAUCUAUUUAGAUUGCACACUAUUCCUCUUGACACUGAAGGUAUGCCAUCUAAAUUUAAGUCCUCACGCCCAGCUGACACACACAGUCAACGUGUCUAAUCUCCUGACAAUGCGUCAUAUAAGAAGCCCACGUGACACAAUACAGCAACGCACUUUUUACAUCGCAUUACAACUCUAGGGAGAAAACACAAUAAUAAUAUUUAAAUCAUUCAUAUUACUAAUACAUUUAAUGGGAAAUAUUUUCAAGUGUAUUUCUAAUUGAGACAUAAUAAAAAAACAGCCAUAUCCAUUUCUGGAUAUGUUUGCUAAACAUGUAAGAUUGAAAUCAAUAUUUUGUCUGGUGUGUCUGGAAAUAUUUGUCAGCUCUUAAAAGUGCAACUAUAAAGGACACAUAGCCCGUUGGAGAAAUGCCAUUGGCUCAAUGUGGAUUUGUAUCAUUUACAUUUAUAUGAAAAUCUGGAAUCUGAGGUUACUAGAUUGACAAUGCCAUUAUCCAAAUAAAUUUUGAUAUAUUUACGGUAGGAAAUUUACAAAAUAUCUUCAUGGAUCAUGAUCUUUACAUAAUAUCUCAAUGAUUUUUGUCAUAAAAGAAUGAAUAUAUUUGUGACUCAUACAAUGUAUUGUUGGCUAUCACUACAAAUAUACUCGUGCGUCUUAAGAUCCAGGGUCACAUAUCAUGUAUCAAGCAUUUUGAAUGUGCACCUGUUGAUAUUAUGUAAUGAUAUUUACAUUGAUGAAAUUUAGUAUGGUAGAUCUACUAUUGUUUACUUCUUUGAAUUAAUUGAUAUGCUUUUAUUUUUCUCUUUAUAUUAAAAGUGCCUGCUAUGAACCAAAAAUGCUGUUGUUGU
Paramisgurnus dabryanus is the source of this 3465-nucleotide long non-coding RNA. RefSeq lists it as uncharacterized. The record is from RefSeq and is a predicted model, not a curated record. Lineage: Eukaryota; Metazoa; Chordata; Actinopteri; Cypriniformes; Cobitidae.